RNAcentral lists this ribosomal RNA (718 nucleotides) under uncultured bacterium. RNAcentral describes it as "bacterial SSU rRNA". It matches the Rfam family "Bacterial small subunit ribosomal RNA", at positions 28 to 758 of the family's 1533-position model. The record is from RNAcentral.
GACGAACGCUGGCGGCGUGCCUAACACAUGCAAGUUGAGCGGAGGUAGGUGGAGCUUGCUCUAUGUACCUUAGCAGCGAACGGGUGAGUAACACGUAGAUAAUCUGUCCUAUAUUGGGGGAUAGCCCGAUGAAAGUUGGAUUAAUACCGCAUACAGCUAUAUAGUUGCAUGAUUAUAUAGUGAAAGAUUUAUUGAUAUAGGAGGAGUCUGCGGCACAUUAGCUAGUAGGUGAGGUAAGAGCUUACCUAGGCGACGAUGUGUAGCCGGUCUGAGAGGAUGAACGGCCACAAUGGAACUGAGACACGGUCCAUACUCCUACGGGAGGCAGCAGUGGGGAAUAUUGCACAAUGGGGGAAACCCUGAUGCAGCAACGCCGCGUGAGUGAAGAAGGUUUUCGGAUUGUAAAGCUCUGUUAGCAGGGAAGAGGAAGGACGGUACCUGCAGAGGAAGCCACGGCUAACUACGUGCCAGCAGCCGCGGUAAUACGUAGGUGGCAAGCGUUGUUCGGAAUAACUGGGCGUAAAGGAUGCGUAGGCGGUUAAAUAAGUUAUAUGUUAAAUAUAUAGGCUUAACCUGUAGAAAGCAUAUAAAACUGUUUAACUAGAGUGCAGGAGAGGUAAGUGGAAUUCCUAGUGUAGCGGUGAAAUGCGUAGAGAUUAGGAAGAACACCAGUGGCGAAGGCGACUUACUGGACUGUAACUGACGCUGAGGCAUGAGA